Small nucleolar RNA from Podarcis muralis (Common wall lizard), 78 nucleotides. Its record names the gene SNORD79. It matches the Rfam family "Small nucleolar RNA SNORD79". From Rfam's summary of the family: snoRNA U79 or Z22 is found in intron 7 of the gas5 gene in humans and is also present in mice. U79 is a member of the C/D class of snoRNA which contain C (UGAUGA) and D (CUGA) box motifs. The record is from Ensembl. NCBI's taxonomy places the organism in Eukaryota, Metazoa, Chordata, Lepidosauria, Squamata, Lacertidae.
UACUGUUGAUGAUGAAAUUGUAUAAAACAAUGGGAAUCUCUCUGAAAAGAAGUGAAGAGAAUUUGCACUGAAACAGUA